AUAUUCUGGUUUGGCUUCAGAUUGUAUAAAUCUUUCGCCUUUUACUAAGGAUUUCUGUGGGGAGGAACAUCAGUUUUAGGGGACAGAAUAAACCUUCAGCAAGUUCACUGGUGACACCAAACUG
Non-coding RNA from Colius striatus (speckled mousebird), 124 nucleotides. Lineage: Eukaryota; Metazoa; Chordata; Aves; Coliiformes; Coliidae. The record is from Rfam.